UCAAGUUUUCAAUAAUAUUAUCUAAUUAAUAUAGAUCUCUGUUAGUAAUUUAAUAUACUUAAACUUUUUGACGUUAGAUGUAUAAAAAAAUGUAUGUGUAUUUAGUAUUUAGGAGUGUGUAAAUAAAAUUUCUCUUUUAUUUUUUUGCAAAAAAAAAAAACCCGAUGGGGCCGUCUUCACGCCUCUAUUGAUGAAUCCAGAUAAUUAAUAUAUGGGGAAAUAAGUCCUUUUAAUAUUUAUGUUGUUUCGAAAAAUAAGAUAAUUCAUUAAUUAACUUAAGAGAAUACAAGCCUUCAUUUGAUCUAGCGACAUAGUCUCUCUUCACAAGUGGGAGGUCGUGAGUCCGCCUCACAAAAGACUUAUUGUAACAGUUAAGUUAUUUAAACUUAUUAGAAAAAAAAAAAAAAAAACUUAAGAGAAUACAAGUGGUCGUAAAAUCCUAUUUGUAAUACCCUGAAAAUUUAAUAUUAGUUUCUAGUAUUAUUUAGAAAUUUUUGUGUUAUGAGGUUCAAAAGAAGAGCGGAAUUGUUCGACUGCAUAAAUUACCCGAAACGGUUUUAUGGUUUUGAAGGGUCAAGAGUUGACUUUCUAAUCUGUUGGGUUUCUCGAUAAACUUCCUUCACGAAAGUUGUAGAGUUUGGUGAAAUAGUUCGUAGACACGCGACACGCGUAAAACGGAUGUCAGAGGAAGUUAGUUUCCGAUUUUUGAAAGUUUAUAAAUAGAAAGUUUGGGGUUUUAUUUUUGGAAACCCUAAUUUCAGAAAGUCUCUUCUCUCUCCUCUCUCUCUCCCGAGCUUCCCGACGCCGGAAGUUCUCCAGCGAAGAACUCGGCCGUCUAGCCACCAUUCGAGGCGCCACCGGUCCUGUUCGGCUCGCACAGUUCUCCUCUCCACUCCUUGGGCAGCGUCGCUCGCCGUCUUGCCGCCUAGACGCCGCCACGAAGCGGCGGAGCUGCUGCGGUAUCACUGGAAAUCCGGCAAUUUUGACGGCUAUUUCGGUGAGACUUAGGUUUGAAGUUUGAUUUCGGGUUGGUGGUUCGAGGCGUUUUCCGGCCGAUUCUAGCUGAAUUGGUUGAACCUCUAGGUAUUAAAGUUGUUCACCUUGCUUCAAGCUUCAAGUUUGCUGUUUUGAGUUUGCUCAAAUUCGGAGGUUUCGGGGUGGCGCAUGUGGCAGCACAUCCGGCAGGGUUCCUAGCUCUAGGUUUCGGUGGUUAGCUAGCUCUUGUUGUUGUGAGCUUGUUGAGAUGUGAAAAUUCUAGGUUUGGAGUAAGGAUUGCAUGCUAGGACUUUAAGUUUAAUCUUAGGCUUGUGAGAGGUUUGAGUUUAGGUUUUGAGGAUUUGAGACAAUUUUAUUGAGUCGUUAAGUACGACGACCUUAGAAAGUUGUCCUCCCUUGGGUUAAGGUUUGUUAAGGUUGCAAUGUUCUUUUUGUUCAAGUGGUUACUAAGGUUAUUAAUUGUGUUAAAUAGGUAGCUUGUGGAGUGAUAUUUGAGCUUGGUUUUUGAGUUUAUUAUGAAGACGCAGCAGGAUUUUAGGUGAGUAAAAUCUCACCAAGGUUCACUUUGGGACCAAUUAUUUAUAAUAAUUAUGAUAAUGAUUAUGAUGAUAAAAUGAUGAUGAUGAUGAUUGUGAUGAUGAGAAUGAUUAUGAUGAUAAAAUGAUGAUGAUGAUUGUGAUGAUAAUAAUUUUUUUUAAAAUUAUGUUUUGUUUGUUUUAAAAUAUAUGAGCUUGAUUGUCAACGACUCAUAGGUAAAAGAAAACAAGUUUUCCUAUUUAAAUGAUUCUUUUUAAGGUUCUUGUGACCAUAAUAUUUUUGGUUUUAUUGAUGUAAUUAUUGAUGCCUUAGUGGUGAUUGUGUGCAUUCGUUGUGGAAUGAUGCCUUAGUGGUGAUUGUGUGUAUUCGUUGUGGUGAUUGUGUGUAUUCAUUGUGGAAUGGUGUCUUAGUGGUGAUUGUGUGCAUUAGUUGUGGAUGUGUGUCUUAGUGGUAAUUGUGAGCAUUCGUUGUGGAAUGAUGUCUUAGUGGUGAUUGUGUGCAUUAGUUGUGGAUAUGUGCCUUAUUGGUGAUUGUGUGCAUUAGAUUAGGAGCCUUUAUGGUGGACCGGGAACCAAGCCUUGGCCGGGUGAUUGGUUAUGGUCAGUACAGAGCUCUAGUCUGUCUGUCGGUAUUUCAUGGGGGAUGACUAAGUGUUGACGAACUCAUAAGUAAGAGUAGAGAAAUGAUUGUGUGAUGUUCUUAUGUGUUUGUCAUUUAAAUUCAUUGCUUUGAGUAUCUCUUGAACUAUGCUUAUCCGCAAGAGAUUCCUUAAUCUUAAUUGUAUGAUUUUUAGUGGAAUUCCUGAACUAUGUUUUUUGCAGGAUUUCAUUUAUAAUUUGAUUGAUUGUGAAUUGUUGUGAUUUCUUAUUUACUCUUUUUUGAAUUCUUUUACUUUUAGGUGAUUCCUGAACUAAGUUGCUAAUGCAGGAAUUACCAAUUUAUUCAUAUGUGAUGUUGGGUUGAGUUAUUUAUUGUAGAUUUACUCAUAUGAGCUAUUAAAGAUUACCGGGUUUGUUAUUUACAACCCGAUGCACCAAUCUAUGGUGUAGUGGUUGUUUUUGCAUGUGAGGAUUUUCAAGACGUAGAAGUCUAGAAGCUGCAUGUUAGGAGUUAACUAUUUUCUUAUUGUUUGUCAAUUUGUAGUGAGCUCUUUAGAGCGUGACCUUACUUGACUUCUCAAGUUAUGUAAACGUCAGAAUGUAUUAUGUGAUUUUUUUAUUUUUGUUAUCAUGCCUUGAAUUUGGAUUUUUAUUUAUCCGAAAUUCGGGACGUGACACUAUUUGUACCAAAUUAAACAUUUUUUUUUCUUCUAAUUGAC
RNAcentral lists this long non-coding RNA (2851 nucleotides) under Fragaria vesca (wild strawberry). RNAcentral's name for it is "long non-coding RNA (FVES_LNC003596)". The record is from RNAcentral. Lineage: Eukaryota; Viridiplantae; Streptophyta; Magnoliopsida; Rosales; Rosaceae.